GUCUGUUUUCGUAGGUGACCUGCGGAAGGAUCAUUACCGAGUGAGGGCCCUCUGGGUCCAACCUCCCACCCGUGUUUAUUUCGGGUUUCCGUAGGUGACCUGCGGAAGGACAUUACCGAGUGAGGGCCCUCUGGGUCCAACCUCCCACCCGUGUUUAUUUUACCUUGUUGCUUCGGCGGGCCCGCCUUAACUGGCCGCCGGGGGGCUUACGCCCCCGGGCCCGCGCCCGCCGAAGACACCCUCGAACUCUGUCUGAAGAUUGUAGUCUGAGUGAAAAUAUAAAUUAUUUAAAACUUUCAACAACGGAUCUCUUGGUUCCGGCAUCGAUGAAGAACGCAGCGAAAUGCGAUACGUAAUGUGAAUUGCAAAUUCAGUGAAUCAUCGAGUCUUUGAACGCACAUUGCGCCCCCUGGUAUUCCGGGGGGCAUGCCUGUCCGAGCGUCAUUGCUGCCCUCAAGCACGGCUUGUGUGUUGGGCCCCGUCCUCCGAUCCCGGGGGACGGGCCCGAAAGGCAGCGGCGGCACCGCGUCCGGUCCUCGAGCGUAUGGGGCUUUGUCACCCGCUCUGUAGGCCCGGCCGGCGCUUGCCGAUCAACCCGAAUUUUUAUCCAGGUUGACCUCGGAUCAGGUAGGGAUACCCGCUGAACUUAAGCAUAUCAAAA
RNAcentral lists this ribosomal RNA (661 nucleotides) under Penicillium sp. SCAU-F-213. RNAcentral describes it as "eukaryotic LSU rRNA". The stretch from base 292 to 444 matches the Rfam family "5.8S ribosomal RNA". Lineage: Eukaryota; Fungi; Ascomycota; Eurotiomycetes; Eurotiales; Aspergillaceae. The record is from RNAcentral.